UACGUAGGGGGCAAGCGUUGUCCGGAAUCAUUGGGCGUAAAGAGCGUGUAGGCGGCUUGGUAAGUCCGCUGUGAAAGUCCAGGGCUCAACCCUGGAAUGCCGGUGGAAACUGUCAAGCUUGAGUCCGGAAGAGGCGAGUGGAAUUCCUGGUGUAGCGGUGAAAUGCGCAGAUAUCAGGAGGAACACCAAUGGCGAAGGCAGCUCGCUGGGACGGUACUGACGCCUGAGACGCGAAAGCGUGGGGAGCAAACAGG
RNAcentral lists this ribosomal RNA (254 nucleotides) under uncultured bacterium. RNAcentral describes it as "partial 16S ribosomal RNA". It matches the Rfam family "Bacterial small subunit ribosomal RNA", at positions 524 to 776 of the family's 1533-position model. The record is from RNAcentral.